Molecule: ribosomal RNA, 733 nt
Filed under: uncultured Pseudomonadota bacterium
Lineage: Bacteria; Pseudomonadati; Pseudomonadota
Description: bacterial SSU rRNA
Rfam family: Bacterial small subunit ribosomal RNA
Source: RNAcentral
AUUGAACGCUGGCGGCAGGCCUAACACAUGCAAGUCGAAUGGUAACAGGAAACAGCUUGCUGUUUCGCUGACGAGUGGCGGACGGGCGAGUAAUGUCUGGGAAACUGCCUGAUGGAGGGGGAUAACUACUGGAAACGGUAGCUAAUACCGCAUAACGUCGCAAGACCAAAGAGGGGGACCUUCGGGCCUCUUGCCAUCAGAUGUGCCCAGAUGGGAUUAGCUAGUAGGUGGGGUAACGGCUCACCUAGGCGACGAUCCCUAGCUGGUCUGAGAGGAUGACCAGCCACACUGGAACUGAGACACGGUCCAGACUCCUACGGGAGGCAGCAGUGGGGAAUAUUGCACAAUGGGCGCAAGCCUGAUGCAGCCAUGCCGCGUGUAUGAAGAAGGCCUUCGGGUUGUAAAGUACUUUCAGCGGGGAGGAAGGGAGUAAAGUUAAUACCUUUGCUCAUUGACGUUACCCGCAGAAGAAGCACCGGCUAACUCCGUGCCAGCAGCCGCGGUAAUACGGAGGGUGCAAGCGUUAAUCGGAAUUACUGGGCGUAAAGCGCACGCAGGCGGUUUGUUAAGUCAGAUGUGAAAUCCCCGGGCUCAACCUGGGAACUGCAUCUGAUACUGGCAAGCUUGAGUCUCGUAGAGGGGGGUAGAAUUCCAGGUGUAGCGGUGAAAUGCGUAGAGAUCUGGAGGAAUACNCGGUGGCGAAGGCGGCCCCUGGACGAAGACUGACGCUCAG